GUACUUUGUCCCAACUUUUUUGGAAUCGGGGUUGUAAUAAUUUAAAAAAUGCAGCAAUGACAAGAACCUAUGAACAGCAGUGGAUUGUGACCCUAGAUCUUGGUGGUGCAGGAUGCCUUUAAUUUGAACAUAGCCUCAAACAAAAUUAAGUUGAGAGGCUGUUAUACUUGACUUUACUGUAGGUUCAUAUCUUGUGAAUUUUAGAGCAAUCCCAUAAUAGUCAUUGGAGAGUGAACAUCAUACAGUCAUACAGCAUUACGGCCUAGCAGCUUGUUUCGAGUGGUUUUCGACGUGCAUUUGUUCAACUGUGCUGAAGGUAACAGCAUUAACCAGGGUUUCCAGAUUUUAGCACGAUUUUGAGCUGAAUUUUAAUUCCAAAGCCACACCAAAGACCUGAAAUAACUCCACAACAGCUGGACACUGGAAAAGGUAGACACAUUUUUUCCAUACAUUUUUUGAUAUAGAGGCAUUAUCCACUCCAUAAUCCACCUGUUUCUUCUCCCAGUCUUUAUAAUAUAUCUUACUAAGGAAAUGGUUCUGUACAUCACAACCCCACUGGCUACAUUACACUCUGCAUUUGUUUGCGGUAAUUUAUUAGAUUUAAUUUUAAGCAUCCUUGGUGGCUGUGGAGUAUUGUUAAACUAUCCUAAUUUGGUGUAAAAUCACAAUAGUGACCCUGUUAUUAACUGUCCUGUGCACUCUUCUACUGAAAAUGUUCAUACAGUGAGCAUGUGGGUGUGAUUCCUGUCCCAAUGGGCUUCUAAUUGUGCUUUUAUGCAGUUCCCAUUUUUGAUCACUCGGCACAAUAAUAUCUCUAUGGAGCAGUGAGUGAGCAGCAUUUAGAAAGCAUUGUUCUGCGUAGUGGAGUGAGGAUGCGGUUCAAGGUGGAGAAAGAGCUUUCACAUGCAGCUGAAGACACGCCAAUGACAAGUGCUGUGACAUAUAUUGAAUGCAAUAUGGGGAAGACCUCUUUGUACUGCUGAAUGCAUUUGCAUGCUUCAGAGAGGUGGGGGUGAAUUGGUAGGCCUACUUCCACCCUGAGAGAAAUGCUCCUGCCAGAAUGAGUCACUCCUCAUCUCCUUCAGAGUAGCCAGUGAAGCUGUCACCACCUCCCCAGCAGUGCACAUAUCCACUGCUUGGGCCUGCAGAAUGGCAUUAGCUGGUUUCAGUGCACCAAGGACCUGAAGGGGGAACUUUCCUGUGUUAAAGAAACACUGUCGUUUUAAUUGGGUCGAAAGACCCAAUGCCUUUGUGCUGAUGUCAAAAGGAGCAGUGUCAUCCUCUGCUACAUCUGAGAGAAGCCCUCUGAUUGUGUCCUCAUUGGUGACAAUGGACUUCGUGACCUCACUGGUCCACCGUAUUUCCAGUAGUCGUUUCCAGUGUUGUGCAUGAACACUGAACACGCUCGUUUUUCCAUGAACUUUGAACUGAACGCAACAACUUUGUAAUGAAAGAACUUGAACGUGAAUUCGUUCAAAUUAUGCGACAUGAAUGACAAACAUGAAGAUGAACGAAACAUGAAACCUGAUGAAUCGAGUGGCACGUCUACUUGCAAGAUAUUUUACGUUCUACUACUUCACUGUCAGUCUGAUGUUGUUGUCACUCACUGCCCUGAGGUGCCGCGUGUGUGCAAUGCAUCAUGGAUAACGUAGUGUGAAGCCGGAGAUAGUGGAUGGCUCUAUGAUUUGGCUCCAUACUACGUUACCCAUGAUGCAGCAGAGCAGAGUAGGCGUAACCCAGCGUUCCCUAGCUGCAGACAGCGCGCACACCACAGCCGGCGCACACUCACAGCAACAUGGCCAGUGAAAGUUCAAGUAGCGGCACGGAGAACACAGAUGAGUACAAUGCCAAAUAAUUUUAGAAAUUUGAUUGUUGUGUGCAAAGUGUGCAUACACAGAUGUGUACUGAAGAAUGAGGCUAUCUGAAGUUUUCCUGUUUUGUAUUUUGAGAAAUAAAAAGCCCUUGAGCAUGCA
Neoarius graeffei (lesser salmon catfish) is the source of this 1973-nucleotide long non-coding RNA. RefSeq lists it as uncharacterized. The transcript has 3 exons. Lineage: Eukaryota; Metazoa; Chordata; Actinopteri; Siluriformes; Ariidae. The record is from RefSeq and is a predicted model, not a curated record.